Canis lupus familiaris (dog) is the source of this 966-nucleotide long non-coding RNA. RefSeq lists it as uncharacterized. The record is from RefSeq and is a predicted model, not a curated record. Lineage: Eukaryota; Metazoa; Chordata; Mammalia; Carnivora; Canidae. The transcript has 3 exons.
CCCAGCCUUCAGCCCUGCCUUCCCUCUUCCCUAACCACAUUCCUGCUUUCUUCACUUGUGAGCUACUGCCUCACUUGUGUUCUAGACCCCGUGACCUCUUAUUUACUCAAGGACACCACUCCCAACAAUUCCCCCUUCUCUCUCCAAGGUCUCCACUGAAUUCCUACCAUGAGUAUUUUUAAACAGCUGUUGUACCUCCUUAUCACCUAUCUACCGGACAACUCAGAUGAUACAAAGGCUCUGUGAGGACAGGUAUGAUGACUGCAGGACCUGGGAGAUCAUGGGGCACACCCAGGUGGGACAGGGAGAAGGCAAGGAAGGACAGCAUCUUGGGCUGAGCUCCUUCCUACUGGCUUGGCUUUCAUGCUGGAAGAUGAGAUGGGAAGAAUCCUCUGGGAAGUCAGCUAUACCCAGGAUAAAAUUGAGUGCUGCGAAUUUCUGAGUCAUUUCCUCGGUUUUGGAUGUUCACUAGUGCAUCUUAGUCAACCCACGCAGAGGCUCUGUCACUGUCACAGAUAAAUGUCACAAAAAUAACAAAUGCACUUUGAACUUCAAGGACGGGCCUUCCAGACCAGUAACCAUGGCAACACCAGAGGCACCCUGAAGAAGUGUGGUGAAUUUCUCCAGGCGCGGGCAUGGGCUUCUUCAUCUCUUUCCCCCUUCUGCUUUUCUACUCCUUUUUAUUUUCCUUUCUCCUCACCUUUUCUUGAUUCUUUCCUGACCCUCAUAUUCUGCAAUUAUUUUUGCAAAACAGGUAUAUGCUGUGCCUAGAACGGUGCCAGGCACACAGCAGGUGUACUGUUCGGUGAAUAAAUGAACGAAUGAAUGAAGGCGCUAACCGACUCGAGUACACUGUCAAUGUCAUCACAUUAUUUAUUUAUUUAUUUAUGAUAGUCACACAGAGAGAGAGAGAGAGGCAGAGACAUAGGCAGAGGGAGAAGCAGGCUCCAUGCGCCAGGAGCCUGA